UUUUUUAAUUGAAAACUUGUAUGAAUGGUUUAACGAAAUAUUUUCUGUUUCAUAAAAAUUUAUAUAGAAAUUAAUUUUUUAAUUAAAAAGUUAAAAUAUAAUUAAAAGACGAGAAGACCCUAUAGAGUUUUAUUUAAAUUUAUUUAUAAAUUAUUUAUAAUAAUUAAAAUUUUAAUUUAAUUUAAAUUUUGUUGGGGUGACAAUAAAAUUUUAUUAUCUUUUAUUAUUUUUUUACAAUGAUUAUUGAUUAAUUGAUCCAUUUUUAAUGAUUAAAAGAUUAAAUUACCUUAGGGAUAACAGCGUAAUUUUUUUGAAGAGUUCAAAUCGAUAAAAAAUUUUGC
This 341-nucleotide ribosomal RNA is filed under the name Apolephthisa subincana. Its description in RNAcentral is "partial 16S ribosomal RNA". Lineage: Eukaryota; Metazoa; Arthropoda; Insecta; Diptera; Mycetophilidae. The record is from RNAcentral.